GCCCGGGUAGCUCAGUUGGCUAGAGCGUGGGACUUUUACGACUUGCUCCAAGUAAGAUCCGACAUCCCAAUGUCGAGGGUUCGAGCCCCUCUUCGGGCG
RNAcentral lists this transfer RNA (99 nucleotides) under Coniochaeta sp. 2T2.1. It matches the Rfam family "tRNA". From Rfam's summary of the family: Transfer RNA (tRNA) molecules are approximately 80 nucleotides in length. Their secondary structure includes four short double-helical elements and three loops (D, anti-codon, and T loops). Further hydrogen bonds mediate the characteristic L-shaped molecular structure. tRNAs have two regions of fundamental functional importance: the anti-codon, which is responsible for specific mRNA codon recognition, and the 3' end, to which the tRNAs corresponding amino acid is attached (by aminoacyl-tRNA synthetases). tRNAs cope with the degeneracy of the genetic code in two manners: having more than one tRNA (with a specific anti-codon) for a particular amino acid; and 'wobble' base-pairing, i.e. permitting non-standard base-pairing at the 3rd anti-codon position. Lineage: Eukaryota; Fungi; Ascomycota; Sordariomycetes; Coniochaetales; Coniochaetaceae. The record is from Rfam by way of RNAcentral.